CGGAGGGGGCUAGCGUUGUUCGGAAUUACUGGGCGUAAAGGGCGCGUAGGCGGCCGUUUAAGUUAGGUGUGAAAGUCCUGGGCUCAACCUGGGGACUGCACUUAAUACUGGAUGGCUUGAAUUCGGGAGAGGAUAGCGGAAUUCCCAGUGUAGAGGUGAAAUUCGUAGAUAUUGGGAAGAACACCGGUGGCGAAGGCGGCUAUCUGGACCGACAUUGACGCUGAGGCGCGAAAGCGUGGGGAGCAAACAGGAUUAGAUACCCUGGUAGUCCACGCCGUAAACGAUGAGUGCUAGACGUUGGGGAGCUUAGCUCUUCAGUGUCGCAGCUAACGCAUUAAGCACUCCGCCUGGGGAGUACGGCCGCAAGGUU
Molecule: ribosomal RNA, 370 nt
Filed under: uncultured organism
Description: bacterial SSU rRNA
Rfam family: Bacterial small subunit ribosomal RNA
Source: RNAcentral